Molecule: ribosomal RNA, 468 nt
Filed under: uncultured bacterium
Lineage: Bacteria
Description: partial 16S ribosomal RNA
Rfam family: Bacterial small subunit ribosomal RNA
Source: RNAcentral
GACGAACGCUGGCGGCGUGCUUAACACAUGCAAGUCGAACGGAAAGGCCCUGCUUUUGUGGGGUGCUCGAGUGGCGAACGGGUGAGUAACACGUGAGUAACCUGCCCUUGACUUUGGGAUAACUUCAGGAAACUGGGGCUAAUACCGGAUAGGAGCUCCUGCUGCAUGGUGGGGGUUGGAAAGUUUCGGCGGUUGGGGAUGGACUGGCGGCUUAUCAGCUUGUUGGUGGGGUAGUGGCUUACCAAGGCUUUGACGGGUAGCCGGCCUGAGAGGGUGACCGGCGACAUUGGGACUGAGAGACGGCGCAGAGUCGUACGGGGGGCAGCAGUGGGGAAUCUGGCACAAUGAGCGGGAGCCUGAUGCAGAGGCGCCGGGGGCGGGAUGGCGGCCUGCGGGUUGUGAACCGCUUUCGCCUGUGACGAAGCGUGAGUGACGGUAAUGGGUAAAGAAGCACCGGCUAACUACGUG